AGUGAACGCUGGCGGUAGGCCUAACACAUGCAAGUCGAACGGCAGCACAGUAAGAGCUUGCUCUUACGGGUGGCGAGUGGCGGACGGGUGAGGAAUACAUCGGAAUCUACUUUUUCGUGGGGGAUAACGUAGGGAAACUUACGCUAAUACCGCAUACGACCUACGGGUGAAAUCAGGGGAUCUUCGGACCUUUCGCGAUUGAAUGAGCCGAUGUCGGAUUAGCUAGUUGGCGGGGUAAAGGCCCACCAAGGCGACGAUCCGUAGCUGGUCUGAGAGGAUGAUCAGCCACACUGGAACUGAGACACGGUCCAGACUCCUACGGGAGGCAGCAGUGGGGAAUAUUGGACAAUGGGCGAAAGCCUGAUCCAGCCAUACCGCGUGGGUGAAGAAGGCCUUCGGGUUGUAAAGCCCUUUUGUUGGGAAAGAAAAGCAGCAGGUUAAUACCCCGCUGUUCUGACGGUACCCAAAGAAUAAGCACCGGCUAACUUCGUG
RNAcentral lists this ribosomal RNA (492 nucleotides) under uncultured bacterium. RNAcentral describes it as "partial 16S ribosomal RNA". It matches the Rfam family "Bacterial small subunit ribosomal RNA", at positions 29 to 507 of the family's 1533-position model. The record is from RNAcentral.